This 997-nucleotide ribosomal RNA is filed under the name uncultured bacterium. RNAcentral's name for it is "bacterial SSU rRNA". It matches the Rfam family "Bacterial small subunit ribosomal RNA", at positions 356 to 1376 of the family's 1533-position model. The record is from RNAcentral.
GGGGGAUAUUGCACAAUGGGGGAAACCCUGAUGCAGCGACGCCGCGUGGAGGAAGAAGGUUUUCGGAUUGUAAACUCCUGUCGUUAGGGACGAUAAUGACGGUACCUAACAAGAAAGCACCGGCUAACUACGUGCCAGCAGCCGCGGUAAAACGUAGGGUGCAAGCGUUGUCCGGAAUUACUGGGUGUAAAGGGAGCGCAGGCGGGAAGACAAGUUGGAAGUGAAAACCAUGGGCUCAACCCAUGAAUUGCUUUCAAAACUGUUUUUCUUGAGUAGUGCAGAGGUAGAUGGAAUUCCCGGUGUAGCGGUGGAAUGCGUAGAUAUCGGGAGGAACACCAGUGGCGAAGGCGGUCUACUGGGCACCAACUGACGCUGAGGCUCGAAAGUGUGGGUAGCAAACAGGAUUAGAUACCCUGGUAGUCCAUGCCGUAAACGAUGAUUACUAGGUGUUGGGGGAUUGACCCCCUCAGUGCCGCAGUUAACACAAUAAGUAAUCCACCUGGGGAGUACGACCGCAAGGUUGAAACUCAAAGGAAUUGACGGGGGCCCGCACAAGCAGUGGAGUAUGUGGUUUAAUUCGAAGCAACGCGAAGAACCUUACCAGGUCUUGACAUCCGAUGCAUAGCACAGAGAUGUGUGAAAUCCUUCGGGACAUCGAGACAGGUGGUGCAUGGUUGUCGUCAGCUCGUGUCGUGAGAUGUUGGGUUAAGUCCCGCAACGAGCGCAACCCUUAUUGCCAGUUACUACGUUAAGAGGACUCUGGCGAGACUGCCGUUGACAAAACGGAGGAAGGUGGGGAUGACGUCAAAUCAUCAUGCCCUUUAUGACCUGGGCUACACACGUACUACAAUGGCGUUAAACAAAGAGAAGCAAGACCGCGAGGUGGAGCAAAACUCAAAAACAACGUCUCAGUUCAGAUUGCAGGCUGCAACUCGCCUGCAUGAAGUCGGAAUUGCUAGUAAUCGUGGAUCAGCAUGCCGCGGUGAAUACGUUCCCG